AGAUAGCGUUAGCGAUUGAAAAGGCAUCCUUUUUAUGCUGAACACGUUUCAGUAACUUUAGGUUAGUAGAAUUGCAGUUAAUAGAAAUUACAGAUGCUAAAAUAAAUUCGGCAUAAAAAGAUAUAGUGUAAAGCGCGACCCUUG
Molecule: small RNA, 144 nt
Filed under: Polaribacter sp. KT25b
Lineage: Bacteria; Pseudomonadati; Bacteroidota; Flavobacteriia; Flavobacteriales; Flavobacteriaceae
Description: Flavo-1 RNA
Rfam family: Flavo-1 RNA
Source: Rfam by way of RNAcentral